This 254-nucleotide ribosomal RNA is filed under the name uncultured bacterium. RNAcentral's name for it is "partial 16S ribosomal RNA". It matches the Rfam family "Bacterial small subunit ribosomal RNA", at positions 524 to 776 of the family's 1533-position model. The record is from RNAcentral.
UACGUAGGUGGCUAGCGUUGUCCGGAUUUACUGGGCGUAAAGAGCGCGCAGGCGGUCGUUCAAGUCGAGUGUGAAAGCCCCCGGCUCAACUGGGGAGGGUCACUCGAUACUGAUCGACUCGAAGGCAGGAGAGGGAAGCGGAAUUCCCGGUGUAGUGGUGAAAUGCGUAGAUAUCUGGAGGAACACCGGUGGCGAAGGCGGCAUCCUGGACCAACACUGACGCUGAGUGAGCGAAAGCCAGGGGAGCAAACGGG